RNAcentral lists this ribosomal RNA (368 nucleotides) under uncultured Glomeromycotina. RNAcentral describes it as "SSU rRNA". It matches the Rfam family "Eukaryotic small subunit ribosomal RNA", at positions 569 to 944 of the family's 1831-position model. The record is from RNAcentral. Lineage: Eukaryota; Fungi; Glomeromycota.
AGCAGCCGCGGUAAUUCCAGCUCCAAUAGCGUAUAUUAAAGUUGUUGCAGUUAAAAGCUCGUAGUUGAAUUUCGGGAUCAAUAUGUUGGUCGUGCCUUGGUACGUACUGGCAUUAUCGAUUCCUACCUUCUGAAGAACCUCGAUGUCAUUAAUUUGGUGUCUUGGGGAAUCAGGACUGUUACUUUGAAAAAUUGAGUGUUUAAAGCAGGCUCGCGCUUGAAUACAUUAGCAUGGAAUAAUGAAAUAGGACGUUUGAUUCUAUUUUGUUGGUUUCUAGGAUCGACGUAAUGAUUAAUAGGGAUAGUUGGGGGCAUUAGUAUUCAAUUGUCAGAGGUGAAAUUCUUGGAUUUUAUUGAAGACUAACUACU